This 77-nucleotide transfer RNA is filed under the name Chloroflexota bacterium. RNAcentral describes it as "tRNA-Val". It matches the Rfam family "tRNA". Rfam says of the family: Transfer RNA (tRNA) molecules are approximately 80 nucleotides in length. Their secondary structure includes four short double-helical elements and three loops (D, anti-codon, and T loops). RNAcentral also lists the same sequence under 2 other names. The record is from RNAcentral. Lineage: Bacteria; Bacillati; Chloroflexota.
GGGCGGUUAGCUCAGAGGCCCAGAGCGCUGCGUUGACAUCGCAGAGGUCACUGGUUCGACUCCAGUACCGCCCACCA